Molecule: transfer RNA, 77 nt
Filed under: Albidovulum sp.
Lineage: Bacteria; Pseudomonadati; Pseudomonadota; Alphaproteobacteria; Rhodobacterales; Paracoccaceae
Description: tRNA-Gly
Rfam family: tRNA
About the family: Transfer RNA (tRNA) molecules are approximately 80 nucleotides in length. Their secondary structure includes four short double-helical elements and three loops (D, anti-codon, and T loops). Further hydrogen bonds mediate the characteristic L-shaped molecular structure. tRNAs have two regions of fundamental functional importance: the anti-codon, which is responsible for specific mRNA codon recognition, and the 3' end, to which the tRNAs corresponding amino acid is attached (by aminoacyl-tRNA synthetases). tRNAs cope with the degeneracy of the genetic code in two manners: having more than one tRNA (with a specific anti-codon) for a particular amino acid; and 'wobble' base-pairing, i.e. permitting non-standard base-pairing at the 3rd anti-codon position.
Source: RNAcentral
GCGGAUGUAGUUCAAAUGGUAGAACAGCAGCGUUCCGCGCUGAAUGAAUGUCGGUUCGAAUCCGGCCGUCCGCUCCA